AUUGAACGCUGGCGGCAUGCCUUACACAUGCAAGUCGAACGGCAGCGCGGGGCAACCUGGCGGCGAGUGGCGAACGGGUGAGUAAUAUAUCGGAACAUACCCUAGAGUGGGGGAUAACGUAGCGAAAGUUACGCUAAUACCGCAUACGCACUAAGGUGGAAAGUGGGGGAUUCGCAAGAACCUCAUGCUCAUGGAGUGGCCGAUAUCUGAUUAGCUAGUUGGUGAGGUAAAGGCUCACCAAGGCGACGAUCAGUAGCUGGUUUGAGAGAACGACCAGCCACACUGGAACUGAGACACGGUCCAGACUCCUACGGGAGGCAGCAGUGGGGAAUUUUGGGACAAUGGGGGCAACCCUGAUCCAGCAAUGCCGCGUGAGUGAAGAAGGCC
This 387-nucleotide ribosomal RNA is filed under the name uncultured bacterium. RNAcentral's name for it is "bacterial SSU rRNA". It matches the Rfam family "Bacterial small subunit ribosomal RNA", at positions 30 to 416 of the family's 1533-position model. The record is from RNAcentral.